UACGAGAGGCCCAAACGUUAUUCGGAAUUACUGGGCUUAAAGAGUUCGUAGGCGGCAUGAAAAGUAGGGUGUGAAAGCCCUCGGCUCAACCGAGGAAUUGCGCUCUAAACUGUCGUGCUCGAGGAAUCUAGAGGUGAGCGGAACUGAUGGUGGAGCGGUGAAAUGCGUAGAGAUCGGGAGGAACACCGGCGGCGAAGGCGGCUGCCUGGACCGGCCCUGACGCUGAGGCGCGAAAGCUAGGGGAGCAAACAGG
RNAcentral lists this ribosomal RNA (253 nucleotides) under uncultured bacterium. RNAcentral describes it as "partial 16S ribosomal RNA". It matches the Rfam family "Bacterial small subunit ribosomal RNA", at positions 524 to 776 of the family's 1533-position model. The record is from RNAcentral.